AAGGACCCGAUGAAUUUGCAGCAGCCGCAACUUCAUGGACUGAAUCCGCGGACAUGACAGCCAUGGUUACAGCUCUUACUCAAGUGAUGGGAAGCGAUGAACAGCUUAGCUUCCAACAAUCACCGACGCCCUCAUCAGUACAAUCUGAAGUGAAAAAUGAACCUGCAGUUCAAGAUCAAGGUAUAUAUAUACACAUCUAUGGCUACAGUGAAAGAUUUGUCUAUUUAAAGGUAGGUGUAGCAACUAGGGUUGCAUCCGGAAAAGCAAACAGAUAAAAAAAAGAAUUACGUGUUAAAGAUGGGAUUGUCAACAUUUUUCAGCCGGUUGUGCUCCUUUUGUCUGUCGUCUUUCUGAUAUUAACUUGUUUUUGUUCGUAGCAGUCAUGAUCUAUCUCUUUCUCAAGUUUUCCUUUCUUUUCUUCUGGUCCUUCAAAAUUCGCCCCCCCCCCCUCUCUAUAUAUACAU
Molecule: long non-coding RNA, 464 nt
Filed under: Gossypium barbadense (sea-island cotton)
Lineage: Eukaryota; Viridiplantae; Streptophyta; Magnoliopsida; Malvales; Malvaceae
Description: long non-coding RNA (GBAR_LNC014510)
Source: RNAcentral